Molecule: non-coding RNA, 296 nt
Organism: Python bivittatus (Burmese python)
Lineage: Eukaryota; Metazoa; Chordata; Lepidosauria; Squamata; Pythonidae
Source: RefSeq, a predicted model, not a curated record
UCCGCUGGCCGGGGCUCCCGAGCGGGGGGGGAGGGUGUCCUGUCGCCUUUGAGAACACGACGGGCGAGGCGAACCCGCGCGGAGAGAGCAGCCUCUGCGGCAGACCAGCCUCGGCUCGCCCGCCCGCCCGGCCGCCCGCGGGCCGCCGCUCGGCAUGCCCCGCUCGGCUCGCCUGGCGUUCCCCCUCAGGACGGUGUUCUGUGAAUAUUUGCCGCUUCAAUAACAGAUGGCUUUUAAGAGUUACCCAGAAUUUUUUGUAGAUUUCCCUGACUUCUAAUAACUAGAAGGAUUCAGAU